GUGCGUGAGGUGUAACUGGUUGCACAGCAGCUUGCCAUGCUGCAGGAAGCGGGUUCGAGCCCCGUCAUGCACUC
RNAcentral lists this transfer RNA (74 nucleotides) under Mycobacterium phage ScoobyDoobyDoo. RNAcentral describes it as "tRNA-Gly". It matches the Rfam family "tRNA". Rfam says of the family: Transfer RNA (tRNA) molecules are approximately 80 nucleotides in length. Their secondary structure includes four short double-helical elements and three loops (D, anti-codon, and T loops). Lineage: Duplodnaviria; Heunggongvirae; Uroviricota; Caudoviricetes. The record is from RNAcentral.